GGAGUUUGGGCCGUGUCUCAGUCCCAAUGUGGCCGAUCACCCUCUCAGGUCGGCUACCGAUCGUCGACUUGGUGGGCCGUUACCUCACCAACUAUCUAAUCGGACGCGAGCCCACCCUUCACCGGAUUGCUCCUUUGACCCCUGAGCCAUGUGACUCUGUGGUCUUAUGCGGUAUUAGUACAACUUUCGCUGUGUUAUCCCCCUCGUGAAGGACAGGUUGCUCACGCGUUACUCACCCGUCCGCCGCUAAAACAUACAUCUUUGACUCCAUCCGAAAACUUCAUCUCCGUCGCAUGUCUCCGCUCGACUUGCAUGUGUUAGGCACGCCGCCAGCGUCGUCCUGAGCACUGAUCAAACUACU
Molecule: ribosomal RNA, 361 nt
Filed under: uncultured Eubacteriales bacterium
Lineage: Bacteria; Bacillati; Bacillota; Clostridia; Eubacteriales
Description: uncultured Clostridiales bacterium partial 16S ribosomal RNA
Source: RNAcentral